AUCAUUAAGGUUGGAAAAGACCUCUAAGGGCAUCGAGUCCAACCAUCAACUGCUCACAUAACAGCAAGAGAUUUUCACCUAGAUACAUGUAUGCAAAUAGAAGACAAAAAGGCUGCAACACUAAAUAUGACCCAGGGGAAGAGUUAUGAACCCUACACCUGCACUUUAGAAAGCACUUUUCUACCUGUCCUUCCACCCCCCUCCAUUACCCAGGGAAUCCUGAGAGCUUUUACUGCUCUGUUUACAGUACCUAUGGAAACAGAAGAACUGAAGAAAGAUGAAUGACUUAUGUGUGAAAUUUCCUUCCAGGGAACUAACUGCAAGUUGCAGUGGUUAUUAAUAAUAGUAAUUCAAAUCUAAUCAGGGGAUAGGAAGAACAAACAUUUACAUUACACCCUGCAGUCUAGACUGGGGCUAGAAAACAAGAAGUCUUUUUCUUUUUCUUGGUUUCAUUUUCUUGACCUUUUUGUUUAAAGAAAAUCAUGAAAAGAAGAAAGGUUUCUCAGGAGAGAGGAAAAGCUCUUGUUAUCACCUGGGAUGUGGAGGAUUGUGAUGAAGUCCUAGCUCAAAAACUGUGAAGAGUGCCCUAUAUCCAAGGUCCUGUGUAAGGACUGAGGAAGAGUGAAGAGAAAUGGCAUGGCAGAAAAAUGCAGCAGGAAAAGCCCAGCAUCCUCACUCCUUCUCACUAAGGAAAAGUUUCCAAGGCCUCACUCCAAG
Molecule: long non-coding RNA, 717 nt
Organism: Pogoniulus pusillus (Red-fronted tinkerbird)
Lineage: Eukaryota; Metazoa; Chordata; Aves; Piciformes; Lybiidae
Exons: 3
Source: RefSeq, a predicted model, not a curated record